GGUUUGUGGCUCAGUGGUAGAGUAUUCGCCUGGCACAUGCGAGGCCCUCGGUUCGAUCCUCAGCACCA
This 68-nucleotide transfer RNA is filed under the name Marmota monax (woodchuck). RNAcentral's name for it is "tRNA.Ala". Lineage: Eukaryota; Metazoa; Chordata; Mammalia; Rodentia; Sciuridae. The record is from RNAcentral.